This is a long non-coding RNA of Podarcis raffonei (Aeolian wall lizard), 2978 nucleotides long. RefSeq lists it as uncharacterized. The transcript has 2 exons. NCBI's taxonomy places the organism in Eukaryota, Metazoa, Chordata, Lepidosauria, Squamata, Lacertidae. The record is from RefSeq and is a predicted model, not a curated record.
ACAACAGACUCGAGUGAAACCGAAAAUGACAGAGCCAGGCUGUUCUGCUGCAGGGAUUGCAUUUCUCUUAAUGAAAACAAAGAAGGAAGCUCAUGAUUACUGAUAACACCAAGGUUGCAGGUUCGAUCCCUGUAUGGGACAGCUGCAUAUUCCUGCAGUGCAGCUGGUUGGACUAGAUUAUCCUCAGGGUCCUUUCCAACACUACAGUUCUAUGAUUGGUGGAAACAUUAAUGCCAAGUUGAAACAUCUGGUUCAGGCUUGCAUGAAAUGCCAACAAAUGGCACCUUUUGUUCAGACAGAAGGUUGUGCUUGCAACAAAAUAGGACCACUGGAUAUAGUAGGCACUGUUUGAAGCAGCUGCAUCAUCAGGUCCUCCCCAAAAUGACUUGGCUGUAUCCUAUAGAACGGCCAUCUUAAAUCUUAGUGUUUUCAUGUUUGCGCUUUGGUCCUCCAGGCUCCAAAUGCACAUAUCCAGGAAUGCAGAUAAUGAAGAAAAUGAGGAUGGGCUUGCUCGCUUACUUGUUUCACCUUGGGAGUACAGAAAGCCCGAGUUCCUUUGCAGUGAGUGAUGGAUGCUGUCUUAGAAAAAAGGCACUUCUUCCUUGACCAUAUCAAGUUCUGGUAAUACUUCAGCCCCCUCAAACGGUCUGCAUCAAGUUAUUUAUAACCAUGUUUUUAUUGGAAAAUUGCCAUAUACUGAGUAAAAACACUCAAGGCAUCAAGGUAUUGAUUUUUUAGAUGACAUCAAUAUAAACAGCACUGAAUCUUCCUAGAUUGUGUGUGAGGAAGUGUGAAAGGUUUUAUGUGUAGCAGCAAAUACACCGUUCCACUGAGUGUUUUGCUUACCAAGAAAGUAGGAAUGAGAGUGAGGAAUACCAAAAGGAAGACUGCAGCAUUUAUUUACUUGGUUACCCCAAAGAAUCAACCAUACUCUUUUCAAGUCACACUCAAAACAUGCCAUCUUAUUCUGAGAUUCAUGAGUGUCUUUCUUGUUGCUAAUUGGUUGCUGGGUGGGUGGGGAGACAACAAAGUGCUGCUAACAGAACUGACAUGUUGUCUUUUUACUGUAAGGUGUCAGUGUGGUGUAAUGGUUAGAGUGUCAGAUGAGCACCUGGGAGAGCAGAGUUCAAAUCCCUCAGAGUGACCCUGGGCCAGUCACUCUCUCAGCCUAACCCACCACAUCGGGUUGUUGUGAAGUUAAGAUGUAGAGAACUAUGUCUGCCACUUUGAGCUCCUUGAAGGAAAGGUUGUAUAUAAAUGUAAUAACUGUGGCAUUAUUUAAAAGCCAGAUUGGUAAACGGCAGCUUUUUCUUCACAAAAUUUGAAUAGUAAAGGAAAUUUGAGACAGCAUCUUGGAGCCUUUCCCCAGCUCUUUCGGACAGGUUUCAAGUUUGGGGACAAAAUUCAGUUGCUUAGUGUUCUGAUAAGGAUGCAACCUAGGCACCAAUGAAAUCCGCUUAGCUAAUUGAUAUUUUGCCUUUUAAACCUAUCAGUUGAUCCAAAGUAAAUCACUAUAUCAUGAGAAGUCAUGGUAGGCCACUGCCGUGCCCCCCCCCCCGUCAAAUUGCCUGCUUUGUUGAUCUGAUAAAGCAAUGCAACAGGUAAAAGCAUGAAUGUGCAUUCAGUGUGCAUGGAGCCAUGCUGUGCGUGAGCUGCUGGGAAGGCAUCCAUUCCAACUGGGUCUUUGAAAUCAGACACUGGAAGAUUUGAGCAGAGUUCAAAGCAAGGAAUGCCAGGAGUAGUUUAGCUGAAAUGCAAAUUAAAUCCAGUGCUUGUCAAAUGCUGUGAUGUUGCCACACAGUGGAUGGAGGAGAAGGCCAGCCUUGGUGCUGUGACUAGCCUCAAGCUAUGACUGAAUUUGCUUACUCGACCACUGAGGGACUCUCUUGCCUCAUACAGAACAAAAAUGUUUAGCAGGGCUUCUAGAUCCAACUCUAUGAACACACACCACUAUAGAAAACACAGUAUACUUGACACAAAUAAAAGAUGAAUGCUCUUGCGUAAUAAAGCAUCGGUUUCCAUUCUGUCCCAUGUCUUUCGCAUGAAGUGCUGUUUCCAUUCCACUGCAGUUUAGCUUCCAAUGAAAACUACGUCAUCUGUCUUGCUGCCGGCUGUGGCAAAAUUCUGUGUAAUUAAUUACAAUAAUGUCAUUCCACAUCAUUUAAAUGCAAAUGGAAUGCAGUGCAAAUGGGUGUAGUCGGUACUAUUUGUGAACUGAAAACAACAGUGAAUACUGAUUGUAUUGACUGGAUUGAUUUCUAUUCCAGACAUGGAACGAAAAAACAGACAGUUUAUUUCUGUUCUUUUCUGCUGAAAUUCUCCAACAAUCCCACUCUUCAGAUGUUUGUGCUUGUGCUUGUCCCAGGAACAAAACUGAUGUUCCUGUGUGUGCAUGUACAUGGCUAGCCAAUGAUCAGGAUGGCUGCUUCAGAGCACUAGAAUCAAGACACAAGCCCUUUUGGCAGGAAAUCUUGAAUCUUAUCAGUGAUAUAAUUAGAUCUAAUAUAGCUUUAGACCCAAAGUAAAUGUUCCUUGGUAGCCUAAAAGGUAUCAUUUGGAAGACAGAUUUAAGAACUCACUUUCACAUUAAUUCCAGCAAAGUUGGUGAUAGCAAUUAAUCAGAUACAAUGUAACAGUACAUGAAAAUCUGAAAUAUAGUUUUUUACAAACUUAAAAGUACACUGCUGUCAGAGGAGGAUGAGCUGAUGAUAGAUGUAUCAAAAGAUGAAGUUCAUUUAUAAACUACAGUAUUGAAAUUUGAAAUUUCUAGAUAAUAUCCAGCUGUACACUUUAACUCAAUGUGACCUGAAGUGAUAACUGGAUGAUUGUUUCUGUAUUAUUUAAAGUGUGAUAUUAUCAUUAUAGGCAGAACUUUCUGAUUAUAUGUGUGUAAGCCAAUGGGUCCCAAAACUGUGUUUGACAAACUUUAUUUGGGUGAACUAUAGCAUGUCUGCAUUAAAUAUUCAUAUUGAUUUUAA